This is a long non-coding RNA of Equus caballus (horse), 1427 nucleotides long. The record is from Ensembl. Lineage: Eukaryota; Metazoa; Chordata; Mammalia; Perissodactyla; Equidae.
AAGAGACGCACAAAGGGAGAUUUGAGACUCGGAGACAGAGGAGAGGCCGUGGGACACUGGCAGAGACUGGAAGGACGUGACCACAAGCCCGGGGACCCUUGGAGCUCCCAGAAGCUGGGAGAGGCAGGAAGGACCCUUCCCUGGAGCCUCGGGAGGGAGCGGCCCCGCCACGCCCCGGUUUUGGACUCCAGAUGCCACUGUGAGCUGGAGUAACUCAAACUCAACCGCCCACAGGGACCACAUUCCUGGCCAGGGAGCUGGGAAGUGUUUCCUGGGGGGAGGGGCAGAAAAGCAAAGCACGUGUCCUGUGCAUCAAGCUUCUUCAUGGGCGCGCCCAGGGAACCGAAGGCUGAGGCCUGGCCAGUGUCCCGAAGGAAGCUUUCACCCCCCUCGUCACUUGUCUCUGUUGGUUCAUGGGCUCGGCAUGUCAGCGUGGCCCCCCGUGCUGGGUCUCAUCAGACCCCAGGGGGAUGCUGAGGGGCAAGCCCAUGGAUCUCCAUCUGUGAGACUGAGCCAUCUGCAAAUGGGCUCAGCUGGGGAGGAUACGCCGCCCACACGGCCAUGUGAGUCCCUGGGGCAGGAACUGCUCCUCAUGCCCACCACAUGCAGGGAAAAAACACAAGUCCUGGAGACAGAUGCCGAGUCCCGUCUCUGCCCACCACCUUCCUGCUUCGAGACCCUGGGCGUGUCACCUCACCUCCCUGGCGUCGGUUUCCUCACCUGUAAAAUGGGGGCUUCAUCGAGGUUUAAUCUCCUACAGCUGAGCGUGAAGCCUGCACGUGGUAAGUGCCCAGCGAGUGCCGGCCCCUAGUAGCCCCACCCCCCAUUGCUGCCCUCAGGUGCUGACGUUCUGGAGGGGCCAAUGCAGACGCCCCCCUGAGACCAGGAAGACCAACAAUCCCACCAGAGAAGAGCGAACAGUGUCUGGCACCUGAGAGAAAGCCACGCCGGCUCACGCUAGACCUCAGUGGCCAAGCGGAUUUAAAUUUAAAUGUACAUAGUCACAUGUGGCUGGUGGCUCCUGUGUUGGACAGCAUCUCUCUAGAAUGUUCCAGCCCAGCAUUGUCCAACAGAACUUUCUGCAAUGACGGGAAUGUCCUGGAUCUGCGCGUCCAAGGGACCCUGGACCCUCUGACUGCAGGAGCUCCCAGUGGCCGGAGCUCAAACGCUUCAUCCUGGAAGGCACGGGACGCCCAGUUAAUUUGCAUUUCAGCUACAGACCAACUCUUUUUAGCAUAAGCAUCUCUCAAAUAUUGCAUGGGACGUGCUUUUACCUGACGACGAUGCGUUAUUUAUCCGAAAUUCCAAUUUCACGAGGCGUUGUGUAUUUUUAUUUGCUAACUCUGGUGACCAUGAGGACGGGACGGGGAGGAGAGGGGCAUCCACGCGUUUGCAGAGAGCUCCACCCCGUGGUUCCUAAAUUCUGC